Molecule: ribosomal RNA, 492 nt
Filed under: uncultured bacterium
Lineage: Bacteria
Description: partial 16S ribosomal RNA
Rfam family: Bacterial small subunit ribosomal RNA
Source: RNAcentral
AGUGAACGCUGGCGGUGGGCCUAACACAUGCAAGUCGAACGGCAGCACAGUAAGAGCUUGCUCUUACGGGUGGCGAGUGGCGGACGGGUGAGGAAUACAUCGGAAUCUACUUUUUCGUGGGGGAUAACGUAGGGAAACUUACGCUAAUACCGCAUACGACCUACGGGUGAAAGCAGGGGAUCUUCGGACCUUGCGCGAUUGAAUGAGCCGAUGUCGGAUUAGCUAGUUGGCGGGGUAAAGGCCCACCAAGGCGACGAUCCGUAGCUGGUCUGAGAGGAUGAUCAGCCACACUGGAACUGAGACACGGUCCAGACUCCUACGGGAGACAGCAGUGGGGAAUAUUGGACAAUGGGCGCAAGCCUGAUCCAGCCAUACCGCGUGGGUGAAGAAGGCCUUCGGGUUGUAAAGCCCUUUUGUUGGGAAAGAAAAGCAGCAGGUUAAUACCCCGCUGUUCUGACGGUACCCAAAGAAUAAGCACCGGCUAACUUCGUG